This is an RNA transcript of Nannospalax galili (Upper Galilee mountains blind mole rat), 3031 nucleotides long. It is a transcript of the gene named homeobox A5, with no coding region annotated. NCBI's taxonomy places the organism in Eukaryota, Metazoa, Chordata, Mammalia, Rodentia, Spalacidae. The record is from RefSeq and is a predicted model, not a curated record. The transcript is spliced from 4 exons.
CUUCUGCAGCUUAGGGAACGCCUAAGCUUUGCAAGCGUCUACGCAUUAACUUAUUGCAGAGAACAAACAAAACCCCACACACCCAAUCUCAGCUGUAGAACAGACGCGCUAUACACAAACAAGUCCUCUCCCCAAGGCUGUCCAAGCCAGCUCUGGAGUCCCGGGGUGCUCCAGGAUUUUUCCCCUCUGCUGUGUCCACACCUCGGUGCUCCCGGAACUCCAAGGUCCAGCUCGGGGUUGUCAGGGAAGAAAGAGCGCCAGGCCGUGCCCCUGUUUGGUAUCUAGGCUCCUCCACCUCGAUCACUCUCCACCGAGUCCUAAAGGGCAUCCUCAAAUCAUGUCUGGCUACCGGCAAGAGAGGGCCUAAGACCCGAGCCCCAGCCCUGUUGCGGCCUCUCAGGAUGCCCCCCAAAAGAAAUUGGAGGAACAAAGGGGAUUCCCCCCCCCAACAGAAGCCGCAUAACCGUCAGUGGACAACCCGCAGCCUGAGCCAAGUUGAGCCAACCUGAGCGCGGGUGGAACAUUACAGCCCAAGGAGCGACUAGGCUCCCCCAGGCUCCCAGCUCCUGACUCCGGCUCCCAGCCUCGAACAGGGCAGGCUCCGAGGGGGCCCAGCGCUGUGGGGCCCGGCUCGACUCCUAGCUUCCAAAAGUGCCAGGGCCGCCUGCGAUAUGGGAUCUCUGGUGGGGAGAGUCCGCUGGCCCCUCGGCUAUAUUUGAGAUUUACUUUCAUCCUUCGGAGCCCAGAAAAACAACUACGGAGAAACUAGACCCUGCCACGAAAUGAUUCCAUUACUUCCCUCAAUUUACUCCUGGAGGGCUUGGCAAUAUCCCAGUAGCGCGCGGCCCACGGAUCCCCAGCCCCGGAGCAGCCUCUGUGGCUGCAGGGAGUCUGGGCCCACUCUCUGGGUUCACCGAGCACCCUACUAUUUGAGGCCCGGCGGGCUGGAGGAACGCGACCAGUGGUGAAGAUUCUCCAGACUGGAUAAAUAAGCAAAUCAAACACCAAACUAAUAACACGAAAAACUUAUUUACAAGAAAGAAAAAUCGACUCGUUAUAGAACUGUAUGGAAUUGGACCUCGCCUCGGAGAAACACUACACAAAAGCUAUCUUUAAUAGACGCCUGUCAUUUAAGAGCGGCAGGGACACUGUCCUUAAUGCGCUCACAAAAACAGAGCCGCAAUUGUGGCUGCUGCUGUGGUCAGGAUUUAUUUCUUCAAUUGGCUAAAUGGUUUCCUCCCCUUCCCUGGAGGUGAUAUCUGUAUUUUCAAAAUUCACAGCUACCGGCAGGACUGGCAGAACCGACCCCAACUUUAACACAAAAAUAAGAAGGGCUACAAAGCGGGGGAAAUAAAGUUAUUGUAAAUAAUUCCAAGUCACCACCUCCCCUAAUCCUCAGCACCGUCGCCGGGCGUGCGAUCGGCAGCUGACGGCCUCACAAUUGGUACAUCCUAAUGGAACUGCGAGGGAAAUGCAAUAAUUUUGCCAUAAUGGGCUGUAACCUCAAUUCGACCCCGGCCCUUUGCAGCCCGAGGUCGGAAGCGAAGCAAUGCGCCAUGCCUCCAGCGGGUGGCGCUCGAGUCCGACUGAACGGCGGCGGCGGGAGGCGGGCACGCGCCCGGGGCGCGCGCGCCACCCCUCUCGCCUCCACCCAACUCCCCCAUUAGUGCUCGAGUUUACCUCUAGAGGUCAUCAGGCAGGAUUUACGACUGGACAACAAAAGCACGUGAUUCGAAGUCGUACCCCAUAUUUGGGUGCCUACGUAGGAGGCAACCAAGUACAUGUCCCAGUCAUUUCCAUAAUUCAUCAUAAAUUGUGCAAGGGUGCUAUAGACGCACAAACGACCGCGAGCCACAAAUCAAGCACACAUAUCAAAAAACAAAUGAGCUCUUAUUUUGUAAACUCAUUUUGCGGUCGCUAUCCAAAUGGCCCGGACUACCAGUUGCAUAAUUAUGGAGAUCAUAGUUCCGUGAGCGAGCAAUUCAGGGACUCGGCGAGCAUGCACUCCGGCAGGUACGGCUACGGCUACAAUGGCAUGGAUCUCAGCGUCGGCCGCUCGGGCUCUGGCCACUUUGGCUCGGGGGAGCGCGCCCGCAGCUAUGCGGCUGGCGCCACUGCGGCGCCCGCCGAGCCCAGGUACAGCCAGCCGGCCACGUCCACACACUCGCCUCCGCCCGACCCGCUGCCCUGCUCUGCCGUGGCCCCCUCGCCCGGCAGCGACAGCCACCACGGAGGGAAAAACUCCCUGGGCAACUCCAGCAGCGCCUCGGCCAACGCCGGCAGCACCCACAUCAGCAGCAGAGAGGGGGUUGGCACGGCGUCCGGAGCCGAGGAGGACGCCCCUGCCAGCAGCGAGCAGGCGAGCGCGCAGAGCGAGCCGAGCCCGGCGCCGCCUGCCCAACCCCAGAUCUACCCCUGGAUGCGCAAGCUCCACAUAAGUCAUGACAACAUAGGCGGCCCAGAAGGCAAAAGGGCCCGGACGGCCUACACGCGCUACCAGACCCUGGAGCUGGAGAAGGAAUUCCACUUCAACCGCUACCUGACCCGCCGAAGAAGGAUUGAAAUAGCACAUGCUCUUUGCCUCUCCGAGAGACAAAUUAAAAUCUGGUUCCAAAACCGGAGAAUGAAGUGGAAAAAAGAUAAUAAGCUGAAAAGCAUGAGCAUGGCUGCAGCGGGAGGGGCCUUCCGUCCCUGAGUAUCUGAGCAGUUAAAGUACUGAGCAGUAUUAGUGCAUCUCCAGUAGUGUCAAUACUAAGGCUACGUGUGCCGCCUGGUCAUUCAAAUGGUCAAUUUUAGGUCCAGGACUGUCCAAACCACAAGUUCUCAAAACUCUCUGAAAAAUGGUUCCCUCCGAGUUAAGGGCCAGAAUAAAAAAAUCCGGAUGCCUGUUGGUCCCAACGCCCUUUUCUACCCCGGUGGGACUCGAACCCUGAGAGGACCCCAGGCCUGGCUAGACCAGAGGUCUGCGCGGAGCCACGGCCAGCCAGCUGCCCUGAGGCCUAGUCAGAAGUAGGGCACAAACAGGGCUCCA